AUGCUUACCUAGUAGGGGAGAUGCCAGUGUUAUGAAGGUGGUUUUUCUAGAGUGAGCCUCACCCAUUACACUUUGGGUGUGCUGACCCCUGUGAUUUCCCCAAAUGUGGGGAAACUUGAUUGCAUUAUUUGUGGUGGUGGGGGCUGUGUUUGUGCUCUCCCCUG
This is a small nuclear RNA of Phyllostomus hastatus (greater spear-nosed bat), 164 nucleotides long. RefSeq annotates it as U1 spliceosomal RNA. Lineage: Eukaryota; Metazoa; Chordata; Mammalia; Chiroptera; Phyllostomidae. The transcript has a single exon. The record is from RefSeq and is a predicted model, not a curated record.